RNAcentral lists this ribosomal RNA (460 nucleotides) under uncultured Sphingobacteriales bacterium. RNAcentral describes it as "bacterial SSU rRNA". It matches the Rfam family "Bacterial small subunit ribosomal RNA", at positions 920 to 1382 of the family's 1533-position model. Lineage: Bacteria; Pseudomonadati; Bacteroidota; Sphingobacteriia; Sphingobacteriales. The record is from RNAcentral.
CCCGCACGAGCGGUGGAGCAUGUGGUUUAAUUCGAUGAUACGCGAGGAACCUUACCUGGGCUCAAAUGUAUGUUGACGUAUUCUGAAAGGGAUACUUCUUCGGACAAUAUACAAGGUGCUGCAUGGUUGUCGUCAGCUCGUGCCGUGAGGUGUCGGGUUAAGUCCCAUAACGAGCGCAACCCCUAUCAUUAGUUGCCAUCAGGUCAAGCUGGGGACUCUAAUGAAACUGCCUACGCAAGUAGUGAGGAAGGUGGGGAUGACGUCAAAUCAGCACGGCCCUUACGUCCAGGGCUACACACGUGCUACAAUGGCCGGUACAAAGGGCAGCUACCUGGUGACAGGAUGCUAAUCUCAAAAGCCGGUCUCAGUUCGGAUCGGAGUCUGCAACCCGACUCCGUGAAGCUGGAGUCGCUAGUAAUCGCGCAUCAGCCAUGGCGCGGUGAAUACGUUCCCGGGCCUU